Molecule: non-coding RNA, 133 nt
Organism: Nelumbo nucifera (sacred lotus)
Lineage: Eukaryota; Viridiplantae; Streptophyta; Magnoliopsida; Proteales; Nelumbonaceae
Source: Rfam
UUAAUGUUUCUUGCUCAAAUGAGUAUUCCAACUGCCACUUCUCUCCGAUGCUUAUAAUGCCACUUUUCGCAUUAUAUUUCUAGCUAUCUGCUAGACCUGGUACUGCGAUACUCAUCUGAGCAAGCAACGUUAA